AGUCGAGCGGUAACAGGAGUAGCUUGCUACUCGCUGACGAGCGGCGGACGGGUGAGUAACGCGUAGGAAUCUGCCUGAUAGUUGGGGAUAGCCCGGGGAAACCCGGAUUAAUACCGAAUACGCUCUACGGAGGAAAGCAGGGGAUCUUCGGACCUUGCGCUAUCAGAUGAGCCUGCGUGAGAUUAGCUAGUUGGUGAGGUAAUGGCUCACCAAGGCGACGAUCUCUAGCUGGUCUGAGAGGAUGAUCAGCCACACUGGGACUGAGACACGGCCCAGACUCCUACGGGAGGCAGCAGUGGGGAAUAUUGCACAAUGGGCGCAAGCCUGAUGCAGCCAUACCGCGUGUGUGAAGAAGGCCUUAGGGUUGUAAAGCACUUUCAGUCGUGAGGAAAGGUGUGUAGCUAAUACCUGCAUGCUGUGACGUUAGCGACAGAAGAAGCACCGGCUAAUUCCGUGCCAGCAGCCGCGGUAAUACGGAAGGUGCGAGCGUUAAUCGGAAUUACUGGGCGUAAAGCGCGCGUAGGUGGUUCAGUCAGUCAGAUGUGAAAGCCCCGGGCUCAACCUGGGAACUGCACCUGAUACUGCUGGACUUGAGUACGGUAGAGGGUAGUGGAAUUUCCUGUGUAGCGGUGAAAUGCGUAGAUAUAGGAAGGAACACCAGUGGCGAA
This 668-nucleotide ribosomal RNA is filed under the name uncultured Gammaproteobacteria bacterium. RNAcentral's name for it is "bacterial SSU rRNA". It matches the Rfam family "Bacterial small subunit ribosomal RNA", at positions 60 to 719 of the family's 1533-position model. The record is from RNAcentral. Lineage: Bacteria; Pseudomonadati; Pseudomonadota; Gammaproteobacteria.